This 396-nucleotide ribosomal RNA is filed under the name uncultured bacterium. RNAcentral's name for it is "bacterial SSU rRNA". It matches the Rfam family "Bacterial small subunit ribosomal RNA", at positions 957 to 1354 of the family's 1533-position model. The record is from RNAcentral.
UAACGCGAAGAACCUUACCAGGUCUUGACAUCUUCUGCUAACCUAAGAGAUUAGGCGUUCCCUUCGGGGACGGAAUGACAGGUGGUGCAUGGUUGUCGUCAGCUCGUGUCGUGAGAUGUUGGGUUAAGUCCCGCAACGAGCGCAACCCUUAUUGUCAGUUGCCAGCAUUUAGUUGGGCACUCUGGCGAGACUGCCGGUGACAAACCGGAGGAAGGUGGGGAUGACGUCAAAUCUUCAUGCCCCUUAUGUCUUGGGCUUCACGCAUGCUACAAUGGCCGGUACAAAGGGCUGCGAUACCGUAAGGUGGAGCGAAUCCCAAAAGGCCGGUCUCAGUUCGGAUUGAGGUCUGCAACUCGACCUCAUGAAGUCGGAGUCGCUAGUAAUCGCAGAUCAGCA